UAUCCUCUUAUUUUUUUUAACUUCAUUAUAAGGGCUUACUACUCCGACGGCCGCGUUUUCUAAAUUGAAUACGCUGCCAAAGUCAUCGAUAACAGCGGAACUUCGAUCGGGAUAAAAAUGCAAAGAUGGGAUGGUCAUGAUAAUGGAGUUGAGAAGCUGAUAGCAUCAAAGAUGAUGCUACCUGGUUCGAAUCGAAGAAUCCACUCCAUUCAUCGUCAUUCCAGCAUGGUAUUCAUUGUUCCUCCCCUUUAAUUUUCAUCUUUAACUUUGUAAUUCAUAGCAUUUUUACCCACAUUUUCUGAAAA
Hibiscus syriacus is the source of this 305-nucleotide long non-coding RNA. RefSeq lists it as uncharacterized. The record is from RefSeq and is a predicted model, not a curated record. The transcript is spliced from 3 exons. Lineage: Eukaryota; Viridiplantae; Streptophyta; Magnoliopsida; Malvales; Malvaceae.